ACUCAAAUGAAUUGACGGGGGCCCGCACAAGCAGCGGAGCGUGCGGUUCAAUUCGAUGCGACACGAAGAACCUUACCAGGGUUUGACAUGGCGGUGGUAGCAAAGCGAAAGCUGAGCGACCCGCAAGGGAGCCGUCACAGGUGAUGCAUGGCUGUCGUCAGCUCGUGCCGUGAGGUGUUCACUUAAGUGUGAAAACGAGCGCAACCCUUGUCGCUAGUUACAUGUGUCUAGCGGGACUGCCGGAUUAUCUCCGGAGGAAGGCGGGGAUGACGUCAAGUCAGCAUGUCCUUUAUAUCCUGGGCGACACGCACGCUACAAUGGGUGUCAUAAUGCGUUGCCAAGCCGUGAGGCGGAGCUAAUCGCACAAAAGCACCCCCAGUUCAGAUUGCAGGCUGCAACCCGCCUGCAUGAAGUCGGAGUUGCUAGUAAACGCGCGUCAGCCAUAGUGCGUUGAAUACGUUCCCGGGCCUUGUACACACCGCCCGU
RNAcentral lists this ribosomal RNA (486 nucleotides) under uncultured bacterium. RNAcentral describes it as "partial 16S ribosomal RNA". It matches the Rfam family "Bacterial small subunit ribosomal RNA", at positions 899 to 1397 of the family's 1533-position model. The record is from RNAcentral.